Molecule: ribosomal RNA, 115 nt
Filed under: Pteropus alecto (black flying fox)
Lineage: Eukaryota; Metazoa; Chordata; Mammalia; Chiroptera; Pteropodidae
Source: RNAcentral
GUCUAUAGCCACGCCAACCCUGAAUGUGACUGAUCCCAUCUCAGAAGCUAAGCAGGGUCGGGCCUGGUUAGUACUUGGAUGAGAGACCAUCUAGGAAGACCAGGUGCUGUAGGCG